This 1523-nucleotide unclassified non-coding RNA is filed under the name Hevea brasiliensis (rubber tree). The record is from RNAcentral. Lineage: Eukaryota; Viridiplantae; Streptophyta; Magnoliopsida; Malpighiales; Euphorbiaceae.
GGCUCAUUACCAACUGCAACAUACCUGCACGGAUAUAGUAAAUGUAUUAAAAAAAAAUAUGCAGAACUCAAUUGUGAGGUUUUAUUCUCAGCAAUGCCAAAAAAAAUUGGAACCUAAACAACCAUCACUUGGGAUAAUUUACAAGCAAUGAAUGUAAAUGCUACAUCAGUUUGCAAUGCAUAUAUUCCUUUCUUCUGAACUCUACUAGUUUGAAGCACGAAUAGAAUUGGCCAUAUAACUAUGGAUAUCUUUUGGUAGUUAAAUCCUGUUUGAUGAAUUACUUGCUCCUGUUCCCUUGCUGAGUUUGGAAAAUCUAACACAUUCCUGAAAGAUUCUCACUGGAAAUCAAUCACAGAUUACAGACAUCAAGUUCCCUAGAUAAUAAUCUGGUUUCUCACUUCUAUAAUAGAAGAAUCUCUUCUUCUUACACAUUGAUUGAUCAUUGCAGUUAUCUCUUGGAACAGACAGGCUAGUUCUGUUAUGGCCCAUCCUUUUCUCCUUUUCAAUAUGAGGUUCUCUCAGAAAAAAAUAAACCACACAAAAGAAUCUAAUACUCUGACUGAUUGCUGAGUGUAUAAGAAAAGGGACUUGAAGUCCCUGGUAAGAUUCUAAAGUCCCUUUUUCUUUCCAGAGAACUUCUCAGUAAGUGCUAUGAGAAUAUAGCACAGAUAUUAAUCAAGAAUUAGAUUAGAAAUAGAUUAACAUAAGACUGGACAGUAAAAUUCAAUCGCUAGAAUCAAUCAUUAACUUUUCCAAUUAACAAAUGCCAACUGCCAUCUUAUGGCAGAUUCAACAACAAAGUCAACUAUUUAACACCUUUACUUGCUUCCCAAAAUAAAUCUGAGUUGAACAUCUCAACUCUUUAUACAUAUCAAGAAUAACAGAAGUGCGUGCAUUUCUCAAUAAGUACAUGGAUCGUGGUAUAAUAUAAUAAGGUUUUCUGACAAAUGAAAUCAAGAAGCAACAAUAAGUGGAUAACAAUCAAUGGAAGUUAUAGAACUAUUAGAUUUUCCAUAAUUGACAAUACCUGCAACUUGUAUACUCAGAGAAAAACCAAAUUUCCAGCAUGUUAUCCAUCAAAACCCAGGCAAACCCAUAAUUUUAAACUUGUGAAACCACAUCACUGGAACAAAGAAAUCAACCUCUCCAGAAAAUCAAUUUCUCAAAUAGAUUCAUUAUACAUCAGCAAGUAACAAAUUCAGAUUUACCAAGGAAAAGGCACAAAGGCUUUGGCAAUAACAAAUAGAACUAUAAAUACACAAUCAAAAUUCAGACUAAAGAUAUAAACAUAGUGGAUGUCAGCUUCUCCACAAAACCAUUCUGGAAAUUCAAUCAAUGAAAUCACUAAAGUUCUAAACACAGAAUAUAAAACUACCACAUCAGCAUCCAAUGCAACGCCGGUAUAACAAAGGAAAAAAUAACACAAAAAAAUAACAGUAACAAUCAAAACCAUAAAAUCCAAAAUUUCAAAAUCAUUUAACACCAUAAAUCAAACAAAAGAAAUUAAUUUGAAUCGGUGUCAG